GUUGCUUGAUGUUCACAUUUCUCGGCUGAGGUUGAAUGAGGCUCCAGAAACUGACCAGCAAGCCUGCAGACCAGCAGAUGGAUGGAGGAAUGACGGGGCAGAGAAAGGGAGAAGAGGAGGAACAUCUGAACGCCAAGAGGAAUAAGGCUGGGGGCAGUCCGAAAGGAUUCUGUUUGCUGGGCGGCCCGACCCCAGGGGAGGAUCAUUUUCCCACUCCAUCCCCUGCUUCUGACUCCCCAUUUAUCCUGCUGAAAGUCACCUCCACCUCCACCUCCACCACUCAAUAAAACUUCG
This 294-nucleotide long non-coding RNA is filed under the name Homo sapiens (human). RNAcentral's name for it is "non-protein coding lnc-TNFRSF21-3:1". The record is from RNAcentral. Lineage: Eukaryota; Metazoa; Chordata; Mammalia; Primates; Hominidae.